This 816-nucleotide long non-coding RNA is filed under the name Mytilus galloprovincialis (Mediterranean mussel). The record is from RNAcentral. Lineage: Eukaryota; Metazoa; Mollusca; Bivalvia; Mytilida; Mytilidae.
GCUUGGAAUAGAUCAUAGAAUGAAAUAAAGUAAUGCUCAAGUCAAUAUAACAAGCUUGGUUCUGUUAUAGGUGUAACCCCACUAAUUCGGGACCGGCCAGAAAGCACAUACCAGAAAGUAGUACAUAUUUAACACAAAAUAGUCCCUACGGAUGAGUGUAACUUUCAAAAUAUGAAGAAUAUUUAGGUAUUUUUGGCAUCAAAUGAAAGCUGAAGGACUGGUGAUCAUUGUAGAACACUUUUGGACUUAAAAUUUUGAAUAUUAAAAAAACUGCACUAAAUUUUAAAAAGAGGGUACAUUUAGUCUGUUUGUCAGAUCUGAAGUACCCGUUUUGGUACAUCCGAAGUUCCGGGAACCAGUUCUUUCUUAUAUGCAUUAAAGGUAUGUUGAUUUUUUUCAGUACAAGACACCAUAAAGUGUUGCUUUGACAUGCAAUGAUUGCCACUUUAUUUGAACUUAAAAUGAAAGAGGUGUGCUUGCUUGAAAUGGAGGAAUUUAACAUAGAAAGCAAUGGGACCAUGAAUUAGUGUUGUACUUCCUUAAGUAUGACGUCCAUUAUCACUGAACUAGUAUGCAUAUGUGUUUAGGGGCUAUCUGAAGGACGCCUCCGGGUGCGGGAGUUUCUCGUUACAGUGAAGACCCAUUGGUGGCCUUCGGCUGUUGUCUGCUCUAUGGUCGAUUGUUGUCGCUUUGACACAUUCCCCAUUUCCAUUCUUAAUUUUAUACUAAUAUGUAUUUACUUAUAAAAUAGUACACCAGUAGUUGAUCUAGAGCUUCACAUGAAGAAGUUGUUUGUGAUUUCAGGUAACGUUUUUU